AGGCCGGGUUUAAAGAAUAACCCCGCGCGCGUGGCUGAGUGUGCGCGAGCGCGUGUGACGUCGGGCGGCGCCAGGGCUCCACCGAACCGCCUCUCCCCACCCCCAUUCGGCUGUCCCCAGUCUGGGCCGAAACUGCUGACUGGCUGACCAAAGCUGUCACACUUGUCCUCUGGGGGUUUUGAAAACCCUAAAUCAAAGCUGGCUUUUCUGACAAGUCCCGAGCCUACGUCCGCGGCCUCUGGGCUGGACAGAUAAGGGGGUCAGUUCUCCCUCAGGUACUUGGCAGCCGGCCGCGAGACGCGCGGCUUCCCUGUCAGCUCUGUGCUUCCCCCGUUAUCGAUUCCCACGUGGUGUCGGCCGCGGGACCGCCGAGCGGAUUUGGCCGGGGCCGCGUCCGCCUUGGCGCUGUAAGCGGCGUUAGGGCCGCGGUGCGGGUCUUUAGGGCACCAGUUUAGCAGAUUUUCAAGUUCGAUUUUCUCGGACUCGGAUGAACCGGAUAGCCACUUCCGUUCUCCCUCCAACCACCCAGAAUUUUGAUAUGCUACAGUAAUAAAAUGGAAAUCAAAGAUCAUGAAAAGAUGAAGAUCAGAAGAGAAACAUGGAUGAUGAAAUCAUGGUAGUGGAAGAAUGGAUUGUUCUGCUUUUGGCACGAGUGAGAUCUUUACUUAAUGAAAAUCUCAAUGGAAUGUCACAUAUUGUUACAGCGGGCAAGUAAGUCUAUAGGAAAUAGAGAAGUCUAAACCUUAUGUUCUGAUAUCUGUUUUCUCCUAAAUUCUGCAAAUUUCAAAGAGCAAUUAAGAAAAUAUUAAUCUUGAUGUGAGUAAUGGGGGCUGUUUCUCACUACAAUUGUCUCUCCCUCCCUAAUUGGGGGAGACAGUCAUGAACAUGCACAGCCUGGAUGCCCUGCUCCAUAUGGGCUGAGCAGAUUGGGAUGGGUGUCAGCUUGCACCAGGAGUGACUGGAUGGAAGGGACAGUUGCCCUUGAUGAGCAGAACUGAAAUCAUCACUCAGGCAGUCACCAGUGAAAGCCUUGGGUGAAUACCUCUAAAACCCAAGUAUCCAUUUAAAACUAAUUACAUCUGACAUUGGAAACACACAUCAUGGAUCUCAUGUGGAUAACUUUCCUUUGAGGUCUACAGCAUUCACUGCUGUGCUGCAGAUGUGCUCAACUAAAAAUAUAAUAGGGAUGAUCCACAUCUUUGUAGUCAGACAAUGAGAACCAAUCAUGAGGAAUCAAGGAAUGGGGCAAAUCUACAAAUUCCAUAGUGGUGGAGGCUCUAUCAAUUCCCGCAAAAGUUUGUAAUAACACCCAGUCUGCCCUAAAUACACUCUCAUUUUGUUGCAAACCACCAGCAUCAUCUGUCAUGAUAUGAAGAAUUAUUCUGGGUUAAAGUGCUGCUUUUCUCUGAGAGCCUCCUUUUGGCAAUACUUGGGUUGUAUAUUCCUUGUUCUCUCUCCUGCCCUUUCACCCAACUUCAUUUUAACUACUACAAGUUGAAUCUUGGAAGGAGAGAUUGAAAUUCUGGGCUUUAAAUAACCUUUUCUGGUUAUUUCUGCCUCUCCCUAUAUAGACCCCUGUGGCAUUAUCAGGAAGGAAGUAUAUGUGUAUCUUUUCAGGCCAGUGGACUUCUUUCUCUUCAAGUGUGUUCAGAAAGCUUGUGCUAUUUACCCAAAGGAGCUCAGCAUCACUUGGCUCCCAUACCUGUCUACUGACCACUCUUGUGCUAUGGUUGUGACAUUAUUGGGUUUUGUGUGCAUCUAUCUUUGGACUCAGUUGCUGGACCUUUGUUGGAUAAUCUGAGCAGCUUUUACUUAAUGACUUAAAUCUUCAAUAUUAUAAGAUUUAACCUAAUCAUAACAAUUAGCUAAUGACUCAUGAAGUGAGGCUACAACUCAGAGAUUAUUGAAUUUGAGGAUGUUUCUUUUUUAUUCUUUAUUUUUUCAUUUUCAUUUUAAUUAAUUUUUAACAGGUUCGAUAUUAUUUGUAGAUAUAAAUCUAAGAAUAUAAUGACAUUCUCUGGGGAGUUUUUACAAGAGUAAUUAAUUGCCCCUUCCUAUCUGGAGGGGUGGUAGUACUAUUUCUCUUGAGGAUGAUGUAUGUGAGCUGUUAGUGAUUUAGUUAUUUAGGAAAAGUAAAAUUUUUCAUCUAUGCAUAAAUGCAAAUUUUAUGUACUUGGGUAUGCCUGAAGUUUAUACAUUGAUUCCAUUCAAUGACCUGGUCAGUCCAGUAUUAAGAUCUUUGCAAAAUUAUUUUUAAAAAGAAAGAAAGGAAAGAAGAAAGAAAACACUCUCCUUGUCAGUCCCCCCAAGGCUUCCUAAGUCUUAAAUUUGCUUUCCAUUAAGACAGUGGUUAGACAGCAGCUGUUGAGCCUCUUAAGAGAAUACACGAUAUGGUAAUAAACACUAUUUCAGAAAUAGGUUUUUACUAGGAAGCACAGUAAUGAGCCCUGCAUGUUCAGUAUACUUUUUACUCCAGACCCGAUUUUAAUGAGGGGGGCUCACUGCAAUUGGUUCACUCCCUACCUAGCAAAUGGAAAAGUUUGUUUUGUCUUUUCAAUUCCAGCCACCCCUGGUGAUGCAGCAUGUUGUAAAAAUGCUCUUUGAAGUUCAUGUGUCAUCCACUUGAAAGAAACACCAGAGGUCGGUGUGUGCUGACCCUCUCUCCAGUGGUGCUGGGUGUCCGGGUACCUCUGGGGAAGGUUCAGAUCUG
This is a non-coding RNA of Oryctolagus cuniculus (rabbit), 2710 nucleotides long. Lineage: Eukaryota; Metazoa; Chordata; Mammalia; Lagomorpha; Leporidae. The record is from RefSeq and is a predicted model, not a curated record.